UACGUAGGGGGCAAGCGUUAUCCGGAUUUACUGGGUGUAAAGGGAGCGUAGACGGCAGUGCAAGUCCGGAGUGAAAGCCCGGGGCUCAGCCCUGGGACUGCUCUGGAAACUGUAAAGCUGGAGUGCGGGAGGGGCAGGCGGAAUUCCUGGUGUAGCGGUGAAAUGCGUAGAUAUCAGGAGGAACACCGGCGGCGAAGGCGGCCUGCUGGACCGUAACUGACGUUGAGGCUCGAAAGCGUGGGGAGCAAACAGG
Molecule: ribosomal RNA, 253 nt
Filed under: uncultured bacterium
Lineage: Bacteria
Description: partial 16S ribosomal RNA
Rfam family: Bacterial small subunit ribosomal RNA
Source: RNAcentral